Molecule: long non-coding RNA, 842 nt
Organism: Zeugodacus cucurbitae (melon fly)
Lineage: Eukaryota; Metazoa; Arthropoda; Insecta; Diptera; Tephritidae
Exons: 3
Source: RefSeq, a predicted model, not a curated record
AUUAUAUUUGAAAUAUUCUGUUGCAAUAUUGAGAAAUAAUUCGUUUGAUAUUCAAACUGAAAAUUCUGUCUCCGUCACGACAACAGCUGGCGGUAAAUAAAUUUUAUUUCGCUGUAAAUAAAUUGUAUUCUUCGCAAAUAAAUAUGGCAGACCGGUGCUACAUUUCUGUUGCAGACACUUCAAAAGACACAAAGAGUUCUGGGAAUCAUCUAACAUUUGUGAAUUUAUUUGGAAAUUUGACAACGAGCACAAAAUUUGUUUGAAGACACGAGAGAAUAUAAAUAAUUUUUUCCAAAAUUUAUAACUGUAAAUAAAGUGUGUAAGAGAAGUUAAUUAAUUGAGAGAAAUAUCUGAUAGAGACCAAAUUGUGAAUGUCAUAAAGGCCGAAUCUCAACUACAACGCUCUGUAACGUGGUCGCUUUGAGACAAAUAAGAAAAUUUCUUCCGAAAAUUUCUAAUAUUACAGUGGUAAGGAGGUACAAUAUACUUGUCGGAGAGAGGGUCAGAGUGGAGAGGGUGGAAGUCCAACGAAAAUCAAAAUUUGUGACCACCUAAAUGUUUCACACCCACGCCACAAGGUUUCCACGCAAACGUUCUGGUCAUAAAUAUUAAAGUAUUGCCCAAAUGUCAGAACAGUAAAUCAUUCGCAAAGUAACCGCAAGCGUAGUUGUAAUAGUCCGCAAGGGCCAAUUUUGGUACACAUUUCAAUUGGAAAAGGUAAACAGUAAAUAUGACGACUUAAAGGCGGAAAAUGAAUUGAUUGAGAAUGAUUCACUUACCAUUUGGUUUCCUUAAUGGACCUUAUACGAUAUUAUCGGCCAGUAAGUUAAAUACAUUUUCAU